AGAAUCAACGCUGGCGGCGUGCCUAACACAUGCAAGUCGAACGAGAAAGUGGAGCAAUCCAUGAGUAAAGUGGCGACCGGGUGAGUAACACGUGACUAACCUACCUUCGAGUGGGGGAUAACCUCGGGAAACCGGGGCUAAUACCGCAUAAAAUCUUUGGAUCGGAAGAACUGGAGAUCAAUGGAGCAAUUCGCUUGAAGAGGGGGUCGCGGCUGAUUAGCUAGUUGGCGGGGUAAUGGCCCACCAAGGCUUUGAUCGGUAGCCGGCCUGAGAGGGCGCACGGCCACACUGGAACUGAAACACGGUCCAGACUCCUACGGAGGCAGCAGUGGGGAAUUUUGCGCAAUGGGGAACCCUGACGCAGCAACGCCGCGUGGAGGAUGAAGUCCCGUUGGGACGUAAACUCCUUUCGACCGGGACGAUUAUGACGGUACCGGUGGAAGAGCCCGGCUAACUUCGCGCCAGCAGCCGC
RNAcentral lists this ribosomal RNA (472 nucleotides) under uncultured bacterium. RNAcentral describes it as "SSU rRNA". It matches the Rfam family "Bacterial small subunit ribosomal RNA", at positions 26 to 518 of the family's 1533-position model. The record is from RNAcentral.